ACGGAAGGCAGCAGUGGGGGAUAUUGCACAAUGGGGGAAACCCUGAUGUAGCGACGCCGCGUGAGUGAAGAAGUAUUUCGGUAUGUAAAGCUCUAUCAGCAGGGAAGAAAAUGACGGUACCUGACUAAGAAGCCCCGGCUAACUACGUGCCAGCAGCCGCGGUAAUACGUAGGGGGCAAGCGUUAUCCGGAUUUACUGGGUGUAAAGGGAGCGUAGACGGCGAAGCAAGUCUGAAGUGAAAGCUCGGGGCUCAACCCCGGAACUGCUUUGGAAACUGUUUUGCUAGAGUGCAGGAGAGGCAAGUGGAAUUCCUAGUGUAGCGGUGAAAUGCGUAGAUAUUAGGAGGAACACCAGUGGCGAAGGCGGCUUGCUGGACUGUAACUGACGUUGAGGCUCGAAAGCGUGGGGAGCAAACAGGAUUAGAUACCCUGGUA
RNAcentral lists this ribosomal RNA (434 nucleotides) under uncultured Clostridium sp. RNAcentral's name for it is "partial 16S ribosomal RNA". It matches the Rfam family "Bacterial small subunit ribosomal RNA", at positions 341 to 792 of the family's 1533-position model. Lineage: Bacteria; Bacillati; Bacillota; Clostridia; Eubacteriales; Clostridiaceae. The record is from RNAcentral.